UCGCAGCCCGACCUGAGUGGAGCUCUUUUUGUCGCAGCGAAGCGGAGACAAAAAAGCGGGAACGGAGGGCGGAUAAAGC
RNAcentral lists this unclassified non-coding RNA (79 nucleotides) under Epilithonimonas zeae. RNAcentral's name for it is "Chryseobacterium zeae Flavo-1 RNA". Lineage: Bacteria; Pseudomonadati; Bacteroidota; Flavobacteriia; Flavobacteriales; Weeksellaceae. The record is from RNAcentral.